Molecule: long non-coding RNA, 2430 nt
Filed under: Cavia porcellus (domestic guinea pig)
Lineage: Eukaryota; Metazoa; Chordata; Mammalia; Rodentia; Caviidae
Description: lncRNA (ENSCPOG00000034305.1)
Source: RNAcentral
CCAAGGUAGUCUUUCUAGGGGUUUUCAGAGGCUGCCCAGUCCUGUGACCUCCAGCUCACGCUACAAAGGGCAGAGAGGGCGCAGCUAGCGUCAGAAGGACAGGCUGCCUGCUCCCGCCAGGCGGCCUGCCCUUCAUGUUCUUGGACUUCAGCCCAGGAUCCCUGCAGGUUCUGACAUCAAGUUGGACCAUCCUUUUGAAUGAGGCGGGUUCAAGGUUGAAGCUGCCCAUCUUCUGGGGUCCCAGCAUUGUGAACACUGCGUGCCAGGAGAAGGGGAAGCAGGACGCAGAAUUUCAGCAAAAACCAGCAGGAUACUGGGGCAGGUAGGAGGGUGUCCCUGGGGGUGCAGGGUGGGGGCCAUUCUCCCUGUUGCCUGGCUCAGGCUCAGACACGUGGCCCAGCGGGUGACCACGGAAUGGACAGGCUUUACCCUCCCCGCGCCUCGAUCCACGCGCGCCCAGGUCAGUGAUGUGGGCUGUGGCCAGCGCCGCGCCGUUGCUCCCAGGUCGGCAACGUUAACAGGGGAAGGGAACCCGCGGGAGCGCGCACAGCCGACUGACCAGCGACCGCACCGCCAGCUGCGAAUUCCUCCGGCCUUCCAUCAGCGCGGGCCCGACGACGGGCUUCCUCGCCGCGGUGAGGUCAGCGCCUCGCUCCCCCUCCCACCCCUCCUCCGGGCUGGCCCCGCGCCGGGGAUCCCGGCCCCCAAUAUCCGCUCACUGCGCCUCGAGCCCCCGGCUGAACCGUCCCCCAGCCUGUCCCUCCCCCAGCCCCGGGUCCACGCCCUGUCCAGGUCCCCGCGGCAGGGCCCUCCCCACCCGGAUGCCCCAGUCUGGUCCAGGCCUGCGCCUUGCAGCCCCCUCUCGGACCUUGCACUUGAGGCCCAGUCCGGUGCGGGAGCCCCAGAUGGGGCGGCCCCUCCCGCAGUCCGCCGCCCUCUGCCGGCCCCGCGGAGCCCUAUUUCGGGACCUGGCGCUGCGGGCCAGGCCAGGGCAGCCCUGCCCGGAAGAGAGGCUAUUCUGGGCCGGGCCGCGGAGCAGCUGCGACCCCAGGACUUCCCGGCAGGGUGCGUGCCCGGGAUAGAGGGCACGUUGGGGCAGGGCUCCCCUCCCUCCCCAGCACCCCACCUUCUUCCCAGGCCGCGCCCCGUUCCCUCCCCUUUUUGGCCGGGCCCUGGUCCUUCCCUAGUCCGGGAAGCAAGGGAAGCGACAUUCUCUGGUGCAGCGCCUGUCCGCCCUUGCUCCCUGCCUGUGUCCGAGGGACGCGGCUUCUGUGCCCACUGUCUCCUACCCGCGUGUCCCAUUUACCUGGACUUCCUAACUGUGACUCUCCUGUCCCCAUGGGUGACCCUCCACCCUAAUUCAGUGUUGAACCCCAUAUCCCAGGUGGACAUGGGUGUCUCCAUAAUGAUCAUUAAGUGAAAGUUGUCACAGGGUCACCUUUAGGGCGCCAAAUCCCAGCCCUUUAGGGGAUCUCAUUACCCCAUGUUCUGCAAAGGUCUGAUCAAAGGUUUCAGCUGCCCCUUGCGGGGAGUGACCACUUCUCUAGGUGGCCCCAGCUCUCUGGGCUCUCUGGGACACUGUCCUCCAUCUGUGAAGCAGGAUGCAGGUAAGUGCAGCGAGCCCCCCCCAGAAAGUGCAAGGAGACAGAUCUGUGCCCCACCAUCAGAAUGCAAGUUACUGCCGGGAUCUAAACCAAAUCACUCUCCCUGGAGCCCAGGAUUUCCCAAAAGAGCUCGGAGGAGCAAAGCAAAGGCCCCUCUCUGCCCAUGGGUGGCCAGCUGUUCUGUAGCGUUCAUCUUCUCUCGGAGGGAUAGCAGGACCCAUCAGCUGGAUCUCAUUAAAAUGCAGAGGCAUCGUCUGGUCUGGGGCUGCCUUUGUGGCCUUGAUCUUGCUGGGCCCACACAGAGGAGCUGGAGGAAGGUUCCCCACCCCCACCCCUCAGUCCUGGGGCGGCUCUGCUGUUUGCUCUUCCAGGGAGGAAAUGGAGCAGAGAGGAAGAGGCUGGGAAAGUGCAGAGGUCAGUGCUCCAGCUGACUGGCCCCGGGACAGCCAGGGCACCCCUCGUGGGCCAGCGGGCCCACGCAGUUUAUAGCCUUCCUUUCCCUUCUAUUUCUUUUCAAUUAUUGAACUAAUACUUGUGAGCUAUGGAGCGUACGUACACUAAAUUAGUGUUACCUUCAAAGAAAAUAAUUUUUUUCUUUUUCUUUUCUUUCUUUUUUUUUUUUUUUUGGUGCCAGGGAUUGAACUCAUGACCUAGGGCUUGCCAGACAGGCGCUUAAACCACCGAGCUAAAUCCCCUGCCCCAAGAAAAUAAAUUCUAUACAAAUUAAAAAUGAAAGUUUUUUUUUUUUGUAGUAUUGGGAAUUGAACUCAAAGCUUUUGUGCUGAGUUACUUUUUUUUUUUUUUUUUUUAAUUGGUUUGAAACAAA